CCUCCGUCCAUCCCAACAUGGCGGACGUCGAGGAGGAUCACAGUCUGCUGGCGGCGGAGGCCGGGGAUAAUUACUCCCUGUCCGGCGGAGAGACGAGUGGCCGUGCCGGUACAUCGCUCCCCGCCAUCUGCGACCCGGCUCACGUCUUACACCGGGUCGUCAUCCUGGUUUUUAUGUGUUUCCUCGGAUUCGGGAGCUAUUUCUGUUAUGACAACCCAGCUUCCCUUCAGACUCAAGUCCUCCAGGAUUUGAACCUAAACACGGCCAAGUUCAUGCAGCUUUAUGCCUGGUACUCGUGGCCCAAUGUCAUCCUCUGCUUUUUUGGGGGAUUCCUCAUUGACAGAGUCUUUGGCAUCAGGCUGGGAACCAUCAUUUUUUCCCUGUUUGUUUGUGUUGGACAGGUCAUAUUUGCCACUGGAGCUUUGGUAAAUCAUUUUUGGCUGAUGGAAAUCGGACGUUUUAUAUUUGGAAUUGGAGGGGAGUCCCUGGCUGUGGCCCAGAAUACAUAUGCAGUCAACUGGUUUAAAGGGAAGGAGCUCAAUCUGGUGUUUGGUCUUCAACUGAGCAUGGCUCGUCUGGGCAGCACGGUGAACAUGAACAUCAUGGGCUGGGUGUACAGCAAAGUGUCUCUCCUGGUCAGCGCUCCCGGUCACAUCACGCUAGGCUGCUCGCUCAUGAUAGCUGCUGUAACCUGCAUAUUCUCGCUAAUCUGCGCUUUGGUGCUGGCAUUCCUUGACAAAAGAGCGGAGAAAAUCCUUCAAAAGGAGCAGGGCAAAACCGGCGAGGUAAUUCAACUGACUGAUGUGAAAGACUUCCCCUUGCCCCUGUGGAUCAUCUUCAUCAUUUGCGUGAGCUACUACGUGGCCAUCUUCCCCUUUAUUGGACUGGGACAGGUCUUCUUCAUUGAGAAGUUCAACUUUUCCCCUGCCGAAGCGAGAGCUGUUAACAGCAUUGUUUACGUCGUCUCAGCUCCGGCGUCUCCUAUUUUGGGCUUCGUGGUAGACAAGAUGGGGAGGAAUGUGAUUUGGGUGAUGUGCGCUGUGUGCACCACACUCGCCUCUCACAUGAUGCUGGCCUUCACCUUCUGGAACCCAUGGAUUGGCAUGUCACUGCUGGGGGUGUCCUACUCCCUAUUGGCAUGCGCUCUGUGGCCUAUGGUGGCCUUCGUGGUACCUGAGCACCAACUGGGGACGGCUUAUGGCUUCAUGCAGUCCAUUCAGAACCUUGGACUCGCGCUCAUUGCCAUGGCAGCAGGAACCAUCCUCGACACCAAAGGAUACCUGUUUCUGGAAGUCUUUUUUUGUUCCUCCAUCUGCAUUGCAUUGAUGGCGGUGGUGAUGCUGUACUUGGUGGAUUUUCUAAGAGGAGGGGAUUUGAACCGGUCAGCCGCAGCCAGAGCCAAACUCCUGAAAGAAGCCACUUCAGAUGCCGAUGACAAGGAACAAAGCAACAACAAUGGCGACCGUAGAACAGUGUCUGCUUGAACAAAUGGACCUAGAUGACCAGAUGAUACGUUUAAUUACGCUGCAAAAUCGAUCAAGAAGGCGGCGUCGUUGAUGAUGAUGAUGAUGUUGUUGAUGAUGAUGAUGAUGAGGGAUUGCUCACGGUCCUGGGCGUACAGAGGGACAAGCCGCACCGUCCACCUCUCAGCUGUCAGUCGUGGGCCUUGUGGGCGGUAUUGCGGAACUUGUGACUCCGCCCAGUGCUGUCAUCUGUGGCACUUCCCCACCACAACUGACUGUCUGGACAUAACAUCUGGUUUAUUUUUCUUCUGUUGAAGAAGAAAUUUCUAUUUCCAUUUUAAAGCCUUUUUAGUAUUGGAACGGAGAGGAACCUCGCAGCCCAAGAUACCUAAUUACCUUUUCAUCUGGAGAGUCAUUUUUCAAAAUAUAUUUGAAUGUUGUGCUUGUCUUUUGUACAUAUCAUUUAUUUGUAAUAAUUGCUGGAUUCUCUCCAAGCAGACAGACUUGAUAUUUUUAAUCAUUCGUACUGUGGAACAUUAAUGGUGGCUGCUUUAAAAGGACAUUGCUCUUUAAGUCUUAGAUAAAGCAAUUACAUGGUGACUACUCCUCACUGGUUUGGGGAUUCAUUAGUACUUUUUUUCGCAUUUAUAACCACUCAAUGAUAUUUAAUAUUUUUAAGAAAUGUUAUUAAUGUGUCCUUUUGAGGACAGUUUAUUCAUUAAGUUCAAGUUGUGAGCUGAAUGAAAUAAUUGACUUUUUUGUUUGAGAGUGAUUGCACUACAGGCAAGUAGUACUGUCAAAAACGCUAUCAACCACUUGAACAAUCACUAGUUAUUUGUGUCAAACCAAGUACCAUUUUUGAAUUAAACAAUUUUCUGAA
This is an RNA transcript of Phycodurus eques (leafy seadragon), 2343 nucleotides long. It is a transcript of the gene named major facilitator superfamily domain containing 1, with no coding region annotated. NCBI's taxonomy places the organism in Eukaryota, Metazoa, Chordata, Actinopteri, Syngnathiformes, Syngnathidae. The transcript is spliced from 17 exons. The record is from RefSeq and is a predicted model, not a curated record.